RNAcentral lists this ribosomal RNA (584 nucleotides) under Rothia dentocariosa. Its description in RNAcentral is "bacterial SSU rRNA". It matches the Rfam family "Bacterial small subunit ribosomal RNA", at positions 375 to 971 of the family's 1533-position model. Lineage: Bacteria; Bacillati; Actinomycetota; Actinomycetes; Micrococcales; Micrococcaceae. The record is from RNAcentral.
GCGCAAGCCUGAUGCAGCGACGCCGCGUGAGGGAUGACGGCCUUCGGGUUGUAAACCUCUGUUAGCAUCGAAGAAGCGAAAGUGACGGUAGGUGCAGAGAAAGCGCCGGCUAACUACGUGCCAGCAGCCGCGGUAAUACGUAGGGCGCGAGCGUUGUCCGGAAUUAUUGGGCGUAAAGAGCUUGUAGGCGGUUGGUCGCGUCUGCUGUGAAAGGCUGGGGCUUAACCCUGGUUUUGCAGUGGGUACGGGCUAACUAGAGUACAGUAGGGGAGACUGGAAUUCCUGGUGUAGCGGUGGAAUGCGCAGAUAUCAGGAGGAACACCGAUGGCGAAGGCAGGUCUCUGGGCUGUAACUGACGCUGAGAAGCGAAAGCAUGGGGAGCGAACAGGAUUAGAUACCCUGGUAGUCCAUGCCGUAAACGUUGGGCACUAGGUGUGGGGGACAUUCCACGUUUUCCGCGCCGUAGCUAACGCAUUAAGUGCCCGCCUGGGGAGUACGGCCGCAGGCUAAAACUCAAAGAAAUUGACGGGGGCCCGCACAAGCGGCGGAGCAUGCGGAUUAAUUCGAUGCAACGCGAAGAACCU